GAAGUAUUAUAUAUAUAUAUAUAUAUAUAUAUAUAUAUAUAAUAAUAAUUUUAAUAAAAAUAAUUUUAUUUAUAAUGGUUUUAGUAUUUUUAAAGAAUUAAUUUAAUAAGUUAUAGGGGAUUAAAUCUGUAAAGGUAAUUUGAAAUAAAUUGAAAAUUAAAUAAUAUUAAAGUAGAUUUAAUUAAUUUUACCUUGUGUAUCAGGGGGUAUUAAUUUUAAAGAUUGUAUUAUUUUGUCUCGAAUUUAAAAGAGUUAAUAUAUUAUGAUUUAUAUUGUUUAAUAAAUAUAUUUAAUAAAAUAUUAGUAAUGAAAUGUUAGUCGAUUUUAAAUAUAUCUAGUUUUUAGGGAAAUAAAUUUAAUUUAGGGAAUUUAGUUUUAAUAAAUUUAUUUUAAUAAGGGAAAUAAAUUUAAUUGAUUUACUUAUAUUUUAAGGGUUAAUCUUUAAUUUAUAUUAUCUAAAAUUAAUAAUUGAAUUCAUAAAUUUAAAGGUUUAGUAAUAUCUAUUAUUUUGUAAAUGUUAUAAUUUAUUUAUGUUGAAGGUUGAUUUUAUUUAAUUUAGAUAUUUUAUUUAAAUAAAUUUUAUAUUAAUUAUGAUUUUGUAAUAAUGAUAGUAUUAGUAAAUAUAUAUAUAUAUAUAUAUAUAUAUAUAUAAAUAAGGAAUUUGGCAAGAAUAAGAAUAUAUUCACCUGUUUAACAAAAACAUGUCUUUUUGAUUGAUAAUUUAAAGUCUAAUCUGCCCAAUGAUUAAGUUUAAUGGCCGCGGUAUUUUGACCGUGCAAAGGUAGCAUAAUAAUUAGUUUUUUAAUUGAAGACUGGAAUGAAUGAUUGAAUGAAAUAUGUACUGUCUCAUUUAUAUUAAUAAUUGAAGUUAAUUUUUGAGUGAUAAAGCUUAAAUUUAAUUAAGGGACGAGAAGACCCUAUAGAGUUUUAUAAGUGUAUUAUUUAUGUAUUAAAUUAUUUAUUAAAUAAUUAUAUUUAUUUAAUUGGGGUGAUUGGAAAAUUUAUUAAACUUUUUUAAUUGUUUAAACAUUAAUUUAUGACUUAUUGAUCCUUUAAUUUAUAAAGAUUGUUAGAUUAAAUUACCUUAGGGAUAACAGCGUAAUUUUUUUUGAAAGUUCUUAUUGAUAAAAAAGAUUGCGACCUCGAUGUUGGAUUAAAAUUAAUUUUAGGUGUAGGAGCUUAUAAAAUUGGGUCUGUUCGACCUUUAAAUUUUUACAUGAUCUGAGUUCAGACCGGCGUGAGCCAGGUUGGUUUCUAUCUGUAAUUGAGUUGAAUAUUCUAGUACGAAAGGAAUGAAUAUUUGUAAUAAAUUAUAAUUCAAUAGGAGUAUUUAAUUAAUAAUAAUAAUUUA
Molecule: ribosomal RNA, 1351 nt
Filed under: Blasticotoma sp. 'minuta'
Lineage: Eukaryota; Metazoa; Arthropoda; Insecta; Hymenoptera; Blasticotomidae
Description: 16S ribosomal RNA
Rfam family: Archaeal large subunit ribosomal RNA (bases 1090-1249)
Source: RNAcentral